Molecule: ribosomal RNA, 448 nt
Filed under: uncultured bacterium
Lineage: Bacteria
Description: bacterial SSU rRNA
Rfam family: Bacterial small subunit ribosomal RNA
Source: RNAcentral
GAGCGGAUGAAGGGAGCUUGCUCCUGGAUUCAGCGGCGGACGGGUGAGUAAUGCCUAGGAAUCUGCCUGGUAGUGGGGGACAACGUUUCGAAAGGAACGCUAAUACCGCAUACGUCCUACGGGAGAAAGCAGGGGACCUUCGGGCCUUGCGCUAUCAUAUGAGCCUAGGUCGGAUUAGCUAGUUGGUGAGGUAAUGGCUCACCAAGGCGACGAUCCGUAACUGGUCUGAGAGGAUGAUCAGUCACACUGGAACUGAGACACGGUCCAGACUCCUACGGGAGGCAGCAGUGGGGAAUAUUGGACAAUGGGCGAAAGCCUGAUCCAGCCAUGCCGCGUGUGUGAAGAAGGUCUUCGGAUUGUAAAGCACUUUAAGUUGGGAGGAAGGGUUGUAGAUUAAUACUCUGCAAUUUUGACGUUACCGACAGAAUAAGCACCGGCUAACUCUGUG